RNAcentral lists this long non-coding RNA (1358 nucleotides) under Olea europaea subsp. europaea. Lineage: Eukaryota; Viridiplantae; Streptophyta; Magnoliopsida; Lamiales; Oleaceae. The record is from RNAcentral.
AGAUGUCACACUAAAUUGUCCCCACUCAUAUCAAUACAACUUAGAAAUGACACCAAAUGAAUUAUUCCAACAAAAAGAUAGACUCCAUUUAGUCCACCAUUUUAAUGUAGCAUUAUUGUACUAAUUUAUGUUUCUGUGCCACCACUGAUUAACCCUUCUCAUGGAGUUACCAUUCUUUCAUUAAAAAGGAAAAAAGUUACCCAAAUUUGAUUAAAAUUAGAUCCCAAAAGUUAUAUGUUACUCUUUUUGACCCUUUUUCGACAAGUCAGCUACCAACAUAUCAAAAUUAUAUGCAAAAAUGAUUACUCGAAAUUUCUAUAUAACCUCGACUAUGUUGAGUUUUGAUUCAAUAAUGUAUUGAAGUCAAUAAGAAUGAUGUUGAGACAGUCAAGACCACACCUAAUUCUAUUAUAAAAUCAACAAUAUUAUCAUCCCAGAAAUAUGCAGCUAAAAAAAGAUUUACUCAUUCAUAUUUAAAUCUAACUGCUACCAGCAUCAUUGGAUGGAACUCCAUAUAUUAUCAACAUAGUCAUAUAACUCAAUAAGUACAUUAUAAUCAAAUAAACAAGAAUUGCAAACGAGAGGAUAAGUAAAGAACUUGUCAAUGAUUAUGCAUACCUCAUCAACCCUAUCCCACCAUCGAAACUGGGAUUGAAUCUUUUUUCUAACAACAUUAUAUAACAAUGUAGGAUAGAAAAAAGCCCGAGCCCCUGCUCCGACAAUAACCCUUUUUGCAUCCCAAAUAAGGAAACUACCUUGGCCCUCUCCAAUCUCUGAAUCAUCUUCCUUACCACACAAUUGCUGCCCCUCUUUAUUCUCCAAAUUUCCUUCCUUCAGUUCCUCAAUAUACAUGCUUCCAAACAAAUUUGCAACCCACCCCUAAUAAUAUUGAAGCAAAAAUAAAAAUACACCAAACAGGCAUAAAAAACCUUGCAGCCUUUGAAUAAAAUCAGCAAGAACCCUUCACAUCAUACCUUUAAAAAAUCUUGAAGUUAAUUAAUAAGUACAGAAAAAUAAACCCUCAAAGAAUAUCACAUCAAGAUUGAAUCUUGCCAGAUAAAAACUAAAAACUCACACCAACCCACCAACCAAAAUCUUCAAAAACACACAAUAUCAAGUUCUAAUUUAAGAAAAAACACAAAAAAUUAACAAAACCCCAAUAUCACUUCAUCACUCUUCAGAGAAAGACUGACAACCAAACUGAUAAAUUCCAAGUCGGAUUAAAGAGUAUACAAGAAAGAAAACCCAAGUUUUGAAGGAAACGAUGUGAAAAUAAGUGCUUUUCAAUGGGUUGGCCGGUUGGGCAUAAUUUUGUCGCAAAAUGUGCGUGUGAGAAGCAACAGAUGCCAGAUGAAGAG